Long non-coding RNA from Xiphophorus maculatus (southern platyfish), 3893 nucleotides. RefSeq lists it as uncharacterized. Lineage: Eukaryota; Metazoa; Chordata; Actinopteri; Cyprinodontiformes; Poeciliidae. The record is from RefSeq and is a predicted model, not a curated record. The transcript is spliced from 4 exons.
UGGACUGUGGGAGGAACCCAGAGAACCGGAGAGAACCCACCAUGCACAGGGAGAACAUGCAGACAGAAAGACUUCGGGUCGGGAAUCAAACUCAGGACCUUCUUGCUGCAAGGCAACAGCUCUACCAACUGCGCCACUGUGCAGCCCACUCUAGAAAUGCUUCCAGAAUAUUUGUUGUUGCAGUUUGGCCUCCAUCCAGCACAGGGCGCUGCCGAGCUAGUUGAUGCUGAAAUAAGCAUGGUGGAGAGUCCGUACUAGGAGGGAAAGAGAAGCGGUCCAAACAAAGUCCGGAGUGGGAUGGAAAAUAGCCUUAGCGCGGUUCUAAAAGCUGCUGAUGUUUGAAACUAUGAAGGAGAGAAAAGCCGAGAAAUUAACAAAUAUGAAAUAAAUCAACUUUCUCUGUUCAGUCAGGAUUUUACACAGCUGACUCAAAACGUUCAAACUUCAUAAUUUUUUUAAUUCAGCAAACAAACGGUGCCGAUCCAAGGCCAACUUCAGAUGAAUCAAUCACUGACCUGUGGAGGCCGAGUCAUGCUGCGGGCUCAGAUUAAAACUAAAUAUUUAAUAGCUUUUUAUUCUCAGUCCUCCAGAUGAUUUCUGCAGAUCCUACCCACGGGUCCAGAGGUCAGAGGUCAACCUCUGAUCUAUGCUGCACCAACAUUCCCACCAGCAGCCGUACUGGGAACCAGUGGAGGCGUUUGAACAGGAUGAUUGUUCUGGAAAAAAACCUUCUGAUGGAAAAAUGCUGGAGCCGAGCGGGAUCCCUGAGGAGUGAUAUGUUUCUGAUCAGAACCAGAGCUGGAUCAGAACCAUACCCGGAUCAGAACCAGAGCUGGAUCAUCAUGAAAGGAAUGAAAACUAUUCCAGACGGUUUUCAUCCACAGGCUGCACCCAUCUGAGGAACAACAGCAAUCUGGGAACCGGGUCGGACCAGAACCCACACACCCACCUCUGGUGUGAACUCCGGCCCGAUCCCAACCUGUUCCUGUCAGUGAAAACGGCUGCAGCCACCCAACCGUUUCCUAUCGGGUCGUCGGUCAGAGCCGGGUCGGUUUCUCUGAACCCCAACAUUCAGCAGAUUCUGUGACAGCAAACCGACGUGGCGUCUGAAUAGUGCGGCAUGCAUUUCCUGUGACUGCUCUAAGGAACAGGAGUCACUACUAGUCAAACUCGGUUCAUCACCUGGACAUGGAGAAGGACCGGCUGGAUGGGAUGCUUUGGAUCAGAGCCCAUUCAUGGGUUAGAAUGGCCUAGUCAAAGUCCAGAUAUGAAUCUAACAGAAUCACUGAACAGACUUGAGACGUUUAAACCAGAAGACCUGCAGCCAGCAGAUUCUACUGAGUUCUGAUUCAAAUACCUGCCACACUUUUCAGACCAUAAUGUAUGUACAAAUAGCACAAAAUUGUUAAAUAAUCAUCCUUCACCUUUUGAUUGAACUACGCCAUUCUGCUCCAUCUCAUAAAACAAUAAAAUACUUUGAAGGUCCAGAAAGAAUGUGAGAAAAUGAAGGUGUGAAUACUUUUAUAUGUAUGAAACGCUGAGUCAGCAGAACGAAACGCUGAGUCAGCACUCAGUGACCUGAGUGAGUCUCAGCUAGCUGACAGGAACCACGGCCCCGAACGGAGCACGCUCAGUAGGGACGCCGGAGGAAAACCAAGAUGGCGGAACCAGUGUGCUGGCUCAGCGGUGCAGACGGACUCACCACCAAGCAACUUUUAAAGGAGCAGAAAAACAGAACGACGGAGCAGGAAGCGUUCGGCUUUUAAAACAGAUCCUAAUGAAUGAUGUGGAUGGAAACUCCAGAGAGGCCUGUGUUGAGACAUGAGGACAAAAAGCUUCUGAACCAGGAACUCUCCAGGGAACGCCGCUAAGAUGGCCGACAGAGAGCAGCUAAUGGCAGCAGGCGAGACGCAGAGUAGCAGCCUACAGGAAACUCCGGCUGCAGCUUCAGGAUGGGAAACUCUGCAGAAGAAGAAGACAGAAAGCGGAGGAAGGAAACGUGACUGCUGCAUUCCUGAAGGAGAAGAAGAAGAAAUCCCUCACAUACAGGUUUGGAUCUGUCCAGAACCACCUGCAGGUCCAAUUCAGUUCUCAGAGGAAAAGGAGGAGAGACGUGAUGAAGGUCACAGGUCAACCCAGAACCUCCGGCUGGACCUCACAGGUCUGCCAGAACCGGGCCCAACAGAACCUGCGAUGGUAAAACUGGAGCUGAACAUCAUGAAACCAACAGAAAGAGCCAGAAACGUUCCGCUGCUGCUACACCGCCCCCUGCUGGCCGCUACCGGAACUGCAGGUAGAACCACCGGCUGAACCGGAUCCCGUCCUCCAGCAGAACCCAAAGACUGCAGAGGAGGAAGAGGAGGAGGAGGAAGAGUCUGCAGUGAAAUUCACUUUAAUGGAUCCGACUGGAACCAACAUGGCAGACAGACAACUAGGCAGAACCAAGAUGGAGCAACCUUUGACUGGACCAGACAGUCCAUUUGUCCAGCAGAUGGAGCUUGGACCAAACCGGGUCAGAACAGAACCAGGAACCUCCACAACAGAAUGGCCUAGUCAAAGUCCAGCCCUGAAUCAGCUGAAAGCCUGAGGUGUGACCUGAUGAUGUACAUCUGAUCUGGAGGCACGCCGCACUUUUCAGAUUUGAUCUAUGAGACGAUCUGAUUGGUUCGUCCCAUCACAGACAGAACCGGGUUCUGUUCAGGUCCAACGGGCUCAGAACAGGUUCUGGUUUCGCUCAGGCUGCCGCAGUCACAGCAGCUGACUCAGAACACAGCCCAGAGGAUUUGGGUCGAGGCCGGAACCGGGUCAGCCGGAACCAGGUCACCCCACAUAGACUGAGGAAAGCCCGACCCGUUUGCUCAGCAACCAGAACCGAGCCAUUAUCCAGACCCAAGAUGGAGCUCAGGAGGGUUCUGAUCCGAUUCUGUACAGAACUCCAGAUUACCGGUUCUGAGCCUCCAGAACCGGGUCGGACAGGUCCGCAGUGUUUUGGGUCGCUCAGUGAAGAGCGUCACUUUGGUUCUGUUGGGAAACAUUCUGAGCCAGUUGGACCAGGCCUCAGAACCAGAAUCAUUUACCUUCCUCUGGAGCGACCCGAUUCUGACCCGAUUCCAGUUCUAUCAGCCGAGCCAGACCAGAACCUAGAUUUCAAAAUAAAAACCAGUCUGUUGAUACAGAACUCUGCAGAACUCUGGUUGGAUUCUGGUGAACCCGGUUCUGUUUGGACCUGCAUGGUGCUCCACCAGAACUUAACUGGGUCACAGAACCUUGGACUUGAGCCAGUUUCCGCUCUCAGGAGGAUUGUUCUCAGCGGUUCUGACCCGGUUCAGCUUACAGGACCAACCAAUCAGAGCGUCUCCCACCGCCUGACCACUUCCUGGUUUCUGACCAAUCAGAGCUCAGAGUGUUCUGGUUCAGGUUGACCCCCCCCCGGAAGGGAUGGCAACCAGUGACUCAGCAGAACCGGAUCCAGAACCAAACGGUCAUUCUGGAUGAAGUACGCGUUUCCAUAACAACUCAAACUAUUUCAGCUUCCUCACGCUUUGCAGCAAAGCAUUAUGGGAAAAACCAGACAAGAAACACCACAGAACAGCAGCUGCCCCCUGGUGGUAACAGCUGCAUGUUGUCUCCAGAGCAGAACUUCUACUGAGAUUAGAUCUAUAAUCUGACCAGAAUAUAUCUGUGAUCGUCUCCAGAAACUCGGACUGACACAGAAUGGGUCAAAGGUACUUAAAGGGCCGGCGUCAUUAAAUAAACCUUUGGUCUCUCCAUCAUGUUUCCCUGCAGUGUUGUUCUGAUUCUUUCAUGUUAGAGAAAUCCUUUAGUUUCCAUGGCAACCAUUCAGCUGCUAAAACGUCUGGGUGGACCUAGCCCCGCCUUCAAGGCGCAGCUCC